This 484-nucleotide ribosomal RNA is filed under the name uncultured bacterium. RNAcentral describes it as "partial 16S ribosomal RNA". It matches the Rfam family "Bacterial small subunit ribosomal RNA", at positions 29 to 523 of the family's 1533-position model. The record is from RNAcentral.
AGUGAACGCUGGCGGCGUGCUUAACACAUGCAAGUCGAACGAGAACGGGUUAUAGCUUGCUAUAAUUGUCAGCUAAGUGGCGCACGGGUGAGUAAUGUAUAGGUAAUAUGCCUCUUACUAAGGGAUAACAAAUGGAAACGUUUGCUAAUACCUUAUACUCCUUAUUAACAUAAGUUAAUAAGGGAAAGAUUUAUUGGUAAGAGAUUAGCCUGUAUUGUAUCAGUUAGUUGGUGGGGUAAUGGCUUACCAAGACUAUGACACAUAACUGGUUUGAGGAGAUGGUCAGUCACACUGGAACUGAGACACGGUCCAGACUCCUACGGGAGGCAGCAGUGGGGAAUAUUGCACAAUGGACGAAAGUCUGAUGCAGCAACGCCGCGUGGAGGAUGACACAUUUCGGUGCGUAAACUCCUUUUAUAUGAGAAGAUAAUGACGGUAUUAUAUGAAUAAGCACCGGCUAACUCCGUGCCAGCAGCCGCGGUAA